CUGCAUUUUAUUUAUUUAUUUAUUUAUUUUUAAUAUUUAUUUUUUAGUUCUCAGCGGACACAACAUCUCUGUUGGUAUGUGGUGCUGAGGAUCGAACCCGGGCCGCACGCAYGCCAGGCGGCGCGCUACCGCUUGAGCCACAUCCCCAGCCCUGUAUUUUUUUUCUUAACUACAAGUAUGUGUCACUUUCACAUCAAGACGGAGAAAAACUUUUCUGGUUUCCCCUCCCACCCCAGACCUUUCUGAGUGGAAAUCCCUAAACCACUCAGAAAACACCUUUUUUUUAAAAAAAAAUUGUUCUAGUUCCCAGCACCAGGCCUUCACAAACCUGGCUUCUAGAAAUAGUCUCAAUGGUUAGUAAGACCAUUUUCAAGGUCAGAUCUAAAAGAUGGACUAGCUCCACAGGUGACCUAUCCUAUAAACCCGACCAGUUCUGCCCCAGCUCUCUUCAUUAUCAGGAGCAGCUGCUAACGCUGUUGCAUUUGAGGGACAGACACCCAGAACCUUUCCUUCACCCAACCCUCGGGAUAACCCACGGGGCAGACACUGUCAUCGCCAUUUACAGAGAAGCACACUGAGACAUGGAGUAAGGGGCCCCCUCAAGGUCACAAAACUAGAAGGCAAUGCAACGGCUCAGUCCAAUAACAAAAGGCCUGGACUCCUCCCGUCGCACUGCCCGGACUCAGGGGCCCAGGGUGGAGGCCGAAAUGGGCUUCCGGGGUUCCACUUCCGGCGGAGGGGAAGCGAAAUGCAAGGUCACGCCAGACCGAGGGGGCCACAGGUCGCAAGGGCAGGGCCUCCCCACUCCUAGAGCUGCCACCCCCAGGCCGCCGGCUCGCAGCUACCAGGAGCGAGGGAGGAUGAAGAAGGAAGGAGGGGGGAAGCGUUCACCCGCGCAGGUGCCACGCCGGAGGGCGGGGAACCGGGCGGAGAGGACCACAACAACACCCAAACCAACGACGGCAUCCAGGAAAGGAACACCACCUCAGGCCCCGAGCUCGAUGGCGCACCGCCGGAACCGGAAGCCGCACCCCCGGAAGUUGGGGAGACUAGGGGAGAAGUUCUUCGUAUUUCGGAGCCGCAGUUUGCCCAGUUACAAAAUGGGAAGAAAGGAGCGGGAAUUGAGAUCCUCUGCGAGCCCGCCUGCCGCUGAGUCAGCGCGCCCCACCCUGAGGUUCCACCCUUGGGCCUUUGUACCACCCAAAGGAAAGAAACCAAAAAGAGAGGCUGCAGGCUGCUAUUUGGAGACUGUGGUCCAGUGCGGCGCACCUGGUGGAGUCAGUCCAGACGACGCAGGGCCCAGUCUAUAA
This 1310-nucleotide long non-coding RNA is filed under the name Urocitellus parryii (Arctic ground squirrel). RNAcentral describes it as "lncRNA (ENSUPAG00010020781.1)". The record is from RNAcentral. Lineage: Eukaryota; Metazoa; Chordata; Mammalia; Rodentia; Sciuridae.